CAGUAGUUCCAAGGAAGUGCUCAACCUAGACGUUGUUGGCCGAAGGAGGGGCGGAGCAGGUGCCAGUCAGGUAGGAGGCUCAAUGGGUGGGAGAUGGCAGCUGCCGAUCUCACACGGCUCCUGCGCCCCGCUACCCUCCCCUCCCCGGCUAAGUAGGAGGUUCGAGGGCAGCGACUAAGGAAGGAGCACAUCGGCGAUGAGGGCUAGCAACAGCAAGACGCAACUGUCAGGUGCGGUCGAUAUGCCACCACGUCGGCCCCUUCACGUGCGACCGCCAGGGUCGGGGCCUUUUUAUGAGCAAUGCAUAGUGUUUCCUUUAUUGUUGUUGUUUGUGUUGUCCUAGAUAUUCCUUUGCCAUAUGAUUUUUGAUCAUUUUCUCGCUCAUUCCUAGAGGAGCGCUAUGGAUAAUAUGAUUGAGAUGACUAAGAUACAUGCUUUUUGUUUACUUGGCAUCUGCUUCUCUUAAUUUUUCUGCAAUCCUUCCUUUACACGCUGGUAUGUUUUAUUGCCAGGCUCAGAUCGGUGAGACCCGUGCCAAUGCAUGAGGUACAAUAUUUUUCUUAUUUAUUCCUUUCAUACAUAUUGAGUUCAUUCACCCUAUUAUAUAUACUGAUUAAACAGUCACACUCAUUUCUCAUGUUUAUGUUCAGGCCUAACCUCACAAAACUUUGGUAUGCACUCACGUAUAAUCAGGGCUUGCUUAUUUUAAUUGUGAAUUCAUUUUAUAAAUAUUAUAUCAUUAUUAUUUGUAAUCAGUUUUUUAUUUAUGAUUUCCAAUUGGGUAAUAUCCCAUCAUACUACUAGGCAUUGGCCAGGUACUGGACUUUGGCUGGUUGUCAAUAUAAGCUUUGUGUUCUCCUUUGUUUUUACCUCAUUUAUAAAGUCCGUGAUUGAGCAUGCAUUUGAUUUCUAUGCCAACAUAGAUCUUAUUGCUCAUCAAAGGUAUCUAAAAGUUGUGUGCUCUGCAACAGAUGGGUUGUGUUAGUCAAUAGAAAUACCUAAUAUGUCAGUUUUGUUGCCAAAUAUUUUAAACACACAUGUAUAUACAGAGUUAUAGAACAUAAGAUGAUCUGGUGGUUACCUUUCCGUUAUUUACUCGAAUGACUGUACGUAUAUCUUACCUUCAGACUUUAUCCGCUCUUGGUUAGUUUUCCAUCUCCAAUCAGAUUAAUGGUUUGCAUGCAGACCAAGCCCAGUGUUUUAUGGUGUUCUUAUUCCUGAUUUAGUUGUACAUUUGACUUUUAGUUUGUUCAUAGAUAAUAAAGUAGUGGCAGAUGAACCAGUAAGUUAUCUGUGCCCAUGCUUUGCUAUAAGCAUUAAAUUUUCUCUCUGCUUUUACUUUCGAUGUGUUAUCCGUACCCCUACUUUUUGUGGCUAAUUAUUAUGUCCUAUCAACAUAUGUAGAGUGCAUGGUAUCAUACAAUUUGAAGUUGAAAAAUUCAUGCUAUGGGUGAUACGGAAAAGUCAUUGCCUUCUUUG
RNAcentral lists this long non-coding RNA (1479 nucleotides) under Triticum aestivum (bread wheat). RNAcentral's name for it is "long non-coding RNA (TAES_LNC015005)". The record is from RNAcentral. Lineage: Eukaryota; Viridiplantae; Streptophyta; Magnoliopsida; Poales; Poaceae.